AUUGAACGCUGGCGGCAUGCUUUACACAUGCAAGUCGAACGGCAGCACGGGUGCUUGCACCUGGUGGCGAGUGGCGGACGGGUGAGUAAUACAUCGGAACGUGUCCUGAAGUGGGGGAUAACGCAUCGAAAGAUGUGCUAAUACCGCAUAUACUCUAAGGAGGAAAGUAGGGGAUCGAAAGACCUUAUGCUUUUGGAGCGGCCGAUGUCUGAUUAGCUAGUUGGUAAGGUAAUGGCUUACCAAGGCGACGAUCAGUAGUUGGUCUGAGAGGACGGCCAGCCACACUGGGACUGAGACACGGCCCAGACUCCUACGGGAGGCAGCAGUGGGGAAUUUUGGACAAUGGGCGCAAGCCUGAUCCAGCAAUGCCGCGUGAGUGAAGAAGGCCCUCGGGUUGUAAAGCUCUUUUGUCCGGAAAGAAAGCAAUCGGUUAAUACCCGGUUGUUCUGACGGUACCGGAAGAAUAAGCACCGGCUAACUUCGUGCCAGCAGCC
Molecule: ribosomal RNA, 494 nt
Filed under: uncultured bacterium
Lineage: Bacteria
Description: bacterial SSU rRNA
Rfam family: Bacterial small subunit ribosomal RNA
Source: RNAcentral